Molecule: long non-coding RNA, 1024 nt
Organism: Hypomesus transpacificus
Lineage: Eukaryota; Metazoa; Chordata; Actinopteri; Osmeriformes; Osmeridae
Exons: 6
Source: RefSeq, a predicted model, not a curated record
UACUCUAUGCUGUUACCACAGUGGUGGUUAACAUUGCUGCUUUUCUUUUCUGUACGUUAGAUAAUGAAGUUGAUGGAGAAGCCGUUGAUUACGGCUUGACUGAGAGGAUGGUUGCAUCCCUUUUCGAAGGAUCCUUUAAGAAGCAAACACAAUUUUUUAGAUUCGUUCAGCAGUGGAAAGAAACCGUGACACUAACCCUUGAGCCUGUCCCGGUAGGCCUACAGUCAGAGAAGGUUACAGUGGAAUCAAGUCAUGACAUCCCAUCAUCAGCCUUCCCAGCAGUUUUUAGCAUUCCUAAAUUUCCCAGAGAUGUUCAGACAAAGUUGGACCAAAAACCGUCAUGCAAAAUUGAGAGAUCCGAUCACAACAAAAUCAUAAGAACAAUGUAUGAAACCAUGGCCCUGAUCAAAAUGUUUCCGACGAAUGAUGACUGUGUAAAAGUGUGCAAGGCCCUGAUUUUGAAGUACCCUUUCUUAUAGGACAAAGAAGGCAAUGGUUAUCAUACCUGGCACAUGUCUCUCAAAUGGAAGUUUAAAUAUGAGUGGGUACCACUGGUAGAUGAUGAAGAGGUGAUAAGAAUGAAAUUGAAAUUUGGUCAUCACAAAAAGCCUUCGCAACAGGAAGAAAACACAAGCAAACGAGCCAAGACAUCAAAGGAGGUGGAUAUUAUUGGGGAGGAUGAUACCUCAAUAGCGAGCCAUGUGAAAGUCCUGCAGGACCAGUACCAGAAGACACAGCCAGAUCCCCAAAUAGUGGAGGAACGGAUGAUGAGGACAUUUGCUUGGAGAAGGCAAGAGAUUGCCAAUGGGAUGACUGUUGAAGAAGCCAUUAACAAAUAUCCAUUCCUUAAGAGUCCAUGCGGGCUAUUUCAGGAAAUGGGCCGGCUUCAUGAUAAAAUGAAUAUCUGCCGAAGAUUUGAAGAUGGCUUUAAAAUCCUAGUACCCACAGUGCUUAAAUUGACACAAAGGAAAUAUCCCCUUGCAGAUCUAGCUUUGGAGGAAAGAGAGGCUGCCCUAACUGAAGA